GCAGAACGCGAAGAACCUUACCAGGGUUUGACAUCCUACGACCGCUCCUUAAUAGGAGUUUUCCCGCAAGGGACGUAGAGACAGGUGCUGCAUGGCUGUCGUCAGCUCGGGUCGUGAGAUGUUGGGUUAAGUCCCGCAACGAGCGCAACCCUCGCCUUUAGUUGCCAUCAUUCAGUUGGGCACUCUAGAGGGACCGCCGGCGACAAGCCGGAGGAAGGUGGGGAUGACGUCAAGUCCUCAUGGCCCUUACACCCUGGGCUACACACGUGCUACAAUGGCGGUGACAGUGGGCAGCUACUCAGCGAUGAGCGGCUAAUCCCAAAAAACCGCCCCAGUUCAGAUUGCACUCUGCAACUCGAGUGCAUGAAGGUGGAAUCGCUAGUAAUCGCAGAACAGCAGGCUGCGGUGAAUACGUUCCCGGGUCUUGUACACACCG
RNAcentral lists this ribosomal RNA (436 nucleotides) under uncultured bacterium. RNAcentral describes it as "bacterial SSU rRNA". It matches the Rfam family "Bacterial small subunit ribosomal RNA", at positions 954 to 1392 of the family's 1533-position model. The record is from RNAcentral.